CCUACGGGCGGCAGCAGUGAGGAAUAUUGGUCAAUGGACGAGAGUCUGAACCAGCCAAGUAGCGUGAAGGAUGACUGCCCUAUGGGUUGUAAACUUCUUUUAUAGGGGAAUAAAACGUGCCACGUGUGGGAUUUUGUAUGUACCAUAUGAAUAAGGAUCGACUAACUCCGUGCCAGCAGCCGCGGUAAUACGGAGGAUCCGAGCGUUAUCCGGAGUGAUUGGGUUUAAAGGGAGCGUAGGUUGAUUGUUAAGUCAGUUGUGAAGGUUUGCGGCUCAACCGUAAAAUUGCAGUUGACACUGGCAGUCUUGAGUACAGUAGCGGUGGGCGGCAUUCGUGGUGUAGCGGU
Molecule: ribosomal RNA, 347 nt
Filed under: uncultured bacterium
Lineage: Bacteria
Description: partial 16S ribosomal RNA
Rfam family: Bacterial small subunit ribosomal RNA
Source: RNAcentral